RNAcentral lists this ribosomal RNA (245 nucleotides) under uncultured bacterium. Its description in RNAcentral is "partial small subunit ribosomal RNA". It matches the Rfam family "Bacterial small subunit ribosomal RNA", at positions 26 to 285 of the family's 1533-position model. The record is from RNAcentral.
AGAAUCAACGCUGGCGGCGUGCCUAACACAUGCAAGUCGAACGAGAAAGUGGAGCAAUCCAUGAGUAAAGUGGCGCACGGGUGAGUAACACGUGACUAACCUACCCUUGAGUGGGGGAUAACCUAGGGAAACCUGGGCUAAUACCGCAUAAUACCUACGGGUCAAAGGAGCAAUUCGCUUUAGGAGGGGGUCGCGGCAGAUUAGUUAGUUGGCGGGGUAAUGGCCCACCAAGACAGUGAUCUGUA